Suricata suricatta (meerkat) is the source of this 901-nucleotide long non-coding RNA. RefSeq lists it as uncharacterized. The record is from RefSeq and is a predicted model, not a curated record. The transcript has 6 exons. Lineage: Eukaryota; Metazoa; Chordata; Mammalia; Carnivora; Herpestidae.
AUAAAUAAAUAAGCUUAAAAAAUAAAAAUAAAAUGUCUUUUAAAAAUAUAUAAAAAUAAAAUUUUGUCUGUCUUUCAAGGCUCAGCUCAAGAACCACCCCCUCCAAGUUGUCUUCCUGGAUUUACUCGGCACCAAAAUUUGCCUUCUCUUUCUUGGAUUGCGGAAGAGUUUCAACAGUCAAAUAAGUCGGAGUCACGAUGUAUGUGAACCGAAGAAGAAUUGUCUCCAGGCGGAAUUCCUUAUCAGGAGUCCCAGGUUUUGGUUCUGACCGGAGCUGCCCUUCCCUGGGGCUGUGGGUGCCCCCUGCCGUGCAGCACACUAAUGAUCUCACGGUGGUGAUGCCAUCUCCGGGAAAAGCCGGCAGUCGAGUAGUCCCCAUUGUCCCAACUCAGAGACUGUCUCUACCUGCCUCACCACCAGAAACAGAGAGGCAGAGUGUUGUCCCGGACCCUGCUCAGGAGAGUGACUCUGCUUCACGGACUGAAGGAGAAACUGAGAACUUGACACGUGCUCCAAGCUUUAGCCUUUGCGUCUGGUGUUCAGUGCUGAGGUUUUGGGACUCUGUCUGUGUCUCCACCUGGCUUGAUGGCGGACAGGCCACAUGACAUGAGAGACAGAGAGAACACAUGAGUGGGGGGGCACUCUGAGAAAGAGAGAGAGAGAGAAAAUCCCAAGGAGGCUCCGCGCUGAGAGCAGACAGCCCAACGUGAGGCCUGAAUGCACGAACCCUGAGUUCACGACCUGAGUCGGAGUUGGACGCUUAACCGACUGAGCCACGCAGUGUCCCAGACAAGUUCAUUUCUUGAGCACUGCUUUUACGUCUCUCCCUGGUCACGUGAGGACCCCAGGCAUUAACACUGGGGCACCUGGGUGGUUCAGUCAGUUGAGCAUCCAACUUCGG